GAGUUUGAUCAUGGCUCAGAUUGAACGCUGGCGGCAUGCCUUACACAUGCAAGUCGAACGGCAGCAUGAUCUAGCUUGCUAGAUUGAUGGCGAGUGGCGAACGGGUGAGUAAUACAUCGGAACGUGCCCUGUAGUGGGGGAUAACUAGUCGAAAGAUUAGCUAAUACCGCAUACGACCUGAGGGUGAAAGUGGGGGACCACAAGGCCUCAUGCUAUAGGAGCGGCCGAUGUCUGAUUAGCUAGUUGGUGGGGUAAAGGCCCACCAAGGCGACGAUCAGUAGCUGGUCUGAGAGGACGAUCAGCCACACUGGGACUGAGACACGGCCCAGACUCCUACGGGAGGCAGCAGUGGGGAAUUUUGGACAAUGGGCGAAAGCCUGAUCCAGCAAUGCCGCGUGUGUGAAGAAGGCCUCGGUU
This 417-nucleotide ribosomal RNA is filed under the name uncultured microorganism. Its description in RNAcentral is "bacterial SSU rRNA". It matches the Rfam family "Bacterial small subunit ribosomal RNA", at positions 9 to 424 of the family's 1533-position model. The record is from RNAcentral.